GAAAAUGUGAGAAACCAGACUAAGCGCACCCUGUGUUUAGCGGACUGUGUCUAUGUUACCCUGCAUACGUGUUCUCUUGGCACAUUUUCUCUGUUUAUAGGUCUUUCAUUAUUGAAUAAAUAACGAAUAGUUGAAGUUAGAAAUAAGUUGAGCGAGGUCCAUCCAACUUUACAGCGUAAGCUGGAAGAGAGAAUUACACAAACCUCCGAUUCCUAAACAGAGAUUUCAGUAAACACCACUGAUGUGUAAAGAUGGGGGACGUAGCAGAUGGAGAUCCGCAAACGAAGGCCAUGAGAGGUCGGGACGGUUGUGAAGGAGCUGCAUGACUAUGUCUUCUGACUGUGCUUCCUGUCAGCUGCUGUUCUGUUAACCCGGGGAAAUGCACUGAUCUAAAAAGCCUGUUCAGGCUGGGGAAGCCGCUCAAUGGUAGUGUGCCUUGCAUGUCCAAGGCCUGGGGUUAAUCUCCAGCAAUGCCAAAAAGUAAAUAGGUAAAUAGCCUGCUUAUUGCUUCGUGGAGUGGUGAUCAAAUAUUCAGUAUAUCUCUUUUUUUUGUAACAGUUAUCUCAUACAACAAAAGAAAUCGAAAUUAUCCAGAGAAAGAUAAAACUAGAGACACGUGGUACACACUGGGCGUCCAAAGGCGGGAACAUCAUUCUUCAGCAGCUUCUGCUAGCACAAAGUCAAAGUGGCAAAAUCCUUUUUUUCCCUUUGGUUUAGAGUUUGGCCUAUCUGUGUGAACAUGCUUAUGCAUUUUCAACUUUUUAACUUGAAAGUACUAUACAUUUUAGAGGCCAGAAGUCUGACUGAGGUCUUUUGAUAUUUUGAAACAUUUUGAGGGGGCAAAAAGUAUAUUUUUCUUGAUAGCACAUUACUCACUUAAUGACCAUUAUUCGCAUGCUUUACCUGCAGUAUUUUGGUUGCAAUGCUUUUUCUUUCUUCUAGAACAAAAGAAUGAAAUGACUUUGCAGUGAGUUAGAGGAGAAACAUGAAGCCUCUAAGCUGCACCUGCAGCAGCUGUCAACCAGUUACAGAAAUCAGCUGCAGCAGAAAGAGGUAAAAGUCAUCGCACUCACUUCGCAUUGAUUUCAGUCUCACUCUCAGAUCCAUAAAGAUAUUGAAGCUAACACAACUGUGAGCUUUGCUGUUAAGUUUACGUGACAUACACUGAUCUCGGGG
RNAcentral lists this long non-coding RNA (1176 nucleotides) under Fukomys damarensis (Damara mole-rat). Its description in RNAcentral is "lncRNA (ENSFDAG00000023636.1)". Lineage: Eukaryota; Metazoa; Chordata; Mammalia; Rodentia; Bathyergidae. The record is from RNAcentral.